RNAcentral lists this long non-coding RNA (2376 nucleotides) under Vitis vinifera (wine grape). Its description in RNAcentral is "long non-coding RNA (VVIN_LNC006687)". The record is from RNAcentral. Lineage: Eukaryota; Viridiplantae; Streptophyta; Magnoliopsida; Vitales; Vitaceae.
GAGUAUCAUCGUCACAUUCCACCAAUAUGGUCCUCUUUUGCUUUAUUUGACAAUGAUCACGGACCACUUAUAGCUUGUCCUCGAACUCAGAUAGCGGGGUCAUCUGCUCCUUCAAGCCCUUCCUUUUUCUGAUAUCUGCUACAAGUUGAGCAGCAGUUGAACCAGCUUCAAGCGGGUCAGCUGACAUUACGUCCCAGUGAUCAAACACACACUGUGGGAACGCCUGUCCUGAGGUUGCAGCUCUCAAAGUGCCUGAAAAUCCAAAGGAUUCGACGACAGGGAGGUAUGCCUUGAUGUUGUAGAGUGGGGUACCCGGCCUCUGCAUUUCCUCGAAUACAUGCCCACGCUUUUGGUUCAGAACACUAUAGAUUCCACCAAGUGCCUGCUCUGGGGCUUGGAUCUCCACCAAGUAGACUGGCUCAAGGAGUCGGGGUUUAGCUGUCAGCUGGGAAGCAUAGAUGACCCUCCUAGCAGUGGGAAUGACUUGACCACCACCUCUGUGAAUUGCAUCAGCAUGGAGGACCACAUCACAGACUUCAAAGCAAAUACCCCUCAUGUUUUCUUCAGCCAAUGCACCUUCCUUUGAUGCCCACUGGAACCCAGCAACAACAGAAUCCUUAAUUUCAUUAAGAUACUGAACUCCCUUACACAUAUCAACCACCAUGUUAGGGCCAGUGGUCUCAGGUCCAAAACACCAGAUUUUCUUUGCAAGAUCCUUGUCCCAACCAAACUCCUCAGACAAGAUCUUGGAACGAGCUUUGGGAUCAUCCCUUGGACCAACACGACCAUCGUCAAUGGCCUCUGCAAGACCUUCCUCCAAAGGUCGGGCCUCCAUGUAGAGACGGUUGUGCUUGUUAGGGGACUUGCUCAUCACAGUUCUGCAAGACUUCUCAAGAACAGUCUCACGGAAGGACACAACAGGGUCAGACUUAACAAUCUCAGCACCACCCAUGAAAUCAUCCUGCAGAUCCUUCAAACAGAUCUCCAGGUGGAGUUCACCAGCACCAGCAAUGAUGUGCUCCCCAGAUUCCUCAAUACUACAGACCACCAUAGGAUCUGACUUAGCCAAACGCUUCAAACCUUCAACAAGUUUAGGAAGGUCAGAUGCAACUUUGCACUGCACUGCAACACGAACAACAGGUGAGACAGAGAACUUCAUUGCUCUGAUUGGAUGGGCAUCAGACUCCUUCUCAUUGGUCAAUGUAGCAUUCUUAGUGAUGAACUGAUCCAAACCAACCAUAGCUACAGUGUUUCCACAGGGCACAUCCUCAACAGUUUCCUGCCUCUUUCCCAUCCAAAUAACAGUUCUCUGCACACUCUUGACAUACAGAUCCUUCUUCUCACCAGGGACAUAGUUUGGACCCAUGAUUCUUACCUUCAAACCAGUUGAAACCUUGCCAGAGAAAACACGUCCAAAAGCAAAGAAUCUGCCUUUGUCAGAAGCAGGAAUCAUCUUUGAGACAUAGAGCAUGAGAGGGCCUUCAGGAUCACAGUUUCUAAUAGCAGUGGCAUAGAUAUCAUCCAAGGGUCCCUCAUACAAGUUCUCUACACGGUAUUUUUGAGCUGUGGAAGGUGAGGGAAGGUGGAAAAUCAUCAUUUCUAGGAGGGCAGUACUUGCUGGGAGCCAUGUCUGCAUCACACGCUUCAUCAGUGCCUUUCCCAUCAAAUCCUUCUCAUCAGACUUCAUGGUCACACCAAGCUUCUGCAACAUAGGCCACAGUUUAUCCUUCUGAUCGUUCAUACAAGUGUUGAUGAUCUGCUUGAUGGGUUCAUAACAGAACUGAACAAAACCACGCUUGCAGUUGGGAGCACCAGUGUUCUUGGUGGUCCAUUUUCUGGUACUAGGGUCAAAGAAAUUCUCACCCCAAAGCCUUUCCAUCAUCUUAGACUCAUCAACUCCAAAUUUGGAAGCAUACAUUUUGGCAAAGUUGGUUAGAGUAAAAGCCCAACCAUGCAAACCAGCAGAGAACGCAACUGUUCCCUUUUCAGGGUAAACUUGAACAUCACCAAGAAGUGGAUCUUCAUAAGUAGCCAUGAUAACAUUUGCAUUCUCAAUAACCCUUGAGAAUGUCUGGUAAGCCUCCUCUCCAUCAACCUGAAGCUCAAGGAAGCACCUGUCCAUCUUAUUGACAGUUAAGACAGGACGGAUCCUUUCACCCAGGGCCUGCCGCAGAACAGUUUCGGUCUGGACACAAACACCCUCAACACAAUCCACAACCACAAGUGCACCAUCAGUAAUACGAAGAGCAGCAGUAACCUCAGAUGAGAAGUCCACGUGCCCAGGGGAAUCAAUAAGAUUGAUAAGGUAUUCGUUCCCUUGUCUCUCUCCCCUGUAGUUCUUGAGAGACUCAUCACUCAUCUCAUAGUAGAGAGAGA